CCUACGGGAGGCAGCAGUGGGGGAUAUUGCACAAUGGGGGGAACCCUGAUGCAGCGACGCCGCGUGGGUGAAGAAGCGCCUCGGCGCGUAAAGCCCUGUCAGCAGGGAAGAAAAUGACGGUACCUGAAGAAGAAGCCCCGGCUAACUACGUGCCAGCAGCCGCGGUAAUACGUAGGGGGCAAGCGUUAUCCGGAUUUACUGGGUGUAAAGGGGGCGCAGACGGCGAUGCAAGCCAGGAGUGAAAGCCCGGGGGCCAACCCCGGGACUGCUCUUGGAACUGCGUGGCUGGAGUGCAGGAGGGGCAGGCGGAAUUCGUGGUGUAGCGGUGAAAUGCGUAGAUAUCAGGAGGAACACCGGUGGCGAAGGCGGCCUGCUGGACUGCAACUGACGUUGAGGCCCGAAAGCGUGGGGAGCAAACAGGAUUAGAUACCCCAGUAGUC
RNAcentral lists this ribosomal RNA (440 nucleotides) under uncultured bacterium. RNAcentral describes it as "partial 16S ribosomal RNA". It matches the Rfam family "Bacterial small subunit ribosomal RNA", at positions 338 to 795 of the family's 1533-position model. The record is from RNAcentral.